GAUGUCAACCCCGGGACCUGAAAAUGCCAUGGUCUCACCCUGACCUCUCAGGACUAAUUAAUGUCCAUACAUUGCUCUUUAAAAAAGUAAACUGCUAUAUAAGUCAGUAGUAAGUCAGCUAUUUAAACUCAACAUGCGGAAUGCUUUCCAUGGUACAAUGCCUCUUUUUUUAAGACAAUUGAGAUAACACAUACAAACCGAAGUGCAAAUUAUAAGUCACAUGGAAUGUCUUUGUAGUGGCCAGAGCAGAGGUGUAUCUGGAGAGACAAACCAAGGCUUCUCAGGGCAAGAACAGAAGAGAAGACCGAAUGCUGCACCUGUCCAGGAGGUCCACGACACAAGAUUCCUCCUUCCCACUCCUCCACGCCAGGCAAACAAGCCACAAGUCUAUGUUGUAAGCACAACUGGAGACUGUUUUCUUUAAAAAAAAAAAAAACAAUUUUAUUUUUGAUAAAGCCGAACACAGCAUUCAAAGGGAUGUAAUGGUCAGCCCCCGCUGGGGCCAGAUCCCAAGUCCAUGGAAAGUGGACUGACUUCCACUGAUGUCAGUGGACAUUGAAUCAGGCCCCUCUGUGUUGUUUCAGGGCUAACAUAGAUGGUUAGAAAGAGGGAAUAAUGCAGCCCACACCUGCUGUCUAGAAUAUAUUCAUAUCCAAACAAACGCAUUCCUUGCAAAAUGGGCACUGGCAACUCAUCCCAGGAUUAUAGAUCCCAGUCUAGCAAAGCACUCAUGUACCUACUUAGCCAAUCUGUUCAUUAUCUGCUUAUUCAAUGAGACUAUUCAUAGGCUUAACGUUAAGCAUAUGCCUAAGGAAUUUGCUCAGUCAGGAACAAAGAACUCGCAACUGAGAAAAUAACUGAAUAGCUGCCCAACAGUGAGAGCUUGUGAGCUCCUAUCUGGCCUUUAAUUGCUAGCAGCAGUGGGUGUACAUCAGAAGUAGGUGAUAUAUGCACAAGAAAAGGUGAAAAUGCUCUCAACCUUUUAGUGCUUCUCUCAUUUUGCUGAAGAACGGAGCCCAUUUCACAGAAAAGUUUGCCAGGUUUCAAAGUUUUCACAGGAAAACGGACCCUUUCAAAAUUCAAAAAGUCUAACAUAGAAAUCUUAAGCUUUUGAUGCAGAGAUAGUAAUUUCUUUAAAUUUUGCGGGAAAGAAAAAUGUAAUGGGUGUGAAAUCACUAGAAACAAAUACAAAUAUACCUUGUGCAAAAAUUGCUACCAGUUUUGCUUAGCUCUAAUAUACUUCAAUACAUUUUGGAGAUCUUUCCUCUUUGAUGAUGGGUGUCCAACUCCCAUUAAUGCUAACAGGGGACUUGCAUGUGCAUAUCAUGGAAGAAUAGGCCUCAGAGAGUAAAAGAUUAUCAUCACAUAUUUUGAUAUGCUAUU
RNAcentral lists this long non-coding RNA (1383 nucleotides) under Chrysemys picta bellii (western painted turtle). RNAcentral describes it as "lncRNA (ENSCPBG00000002675.1)". The record is from RNAcentral. Lineage: Eukaryota; Metazoa; Chordata; Testudines; Emydidae.